AACGAACGCUGGCGGCAUGCUUUACACAUGCAAGUCGAACGGCAGCACGGGCUUCGGCCUGGUGGCGAGUGGCGAACGGGUGAGUAAUGCAUCGGAACGUACCGUGUAAUGGGGGGAUAACGUAGCGAAAGUUACGCUAAUACCGCAUACGCCCUGAGGGGGAAAGCGGGGGAUCGUAAGACCUCGCGUUAUACGAGCGGCCGAUGUCGGAUUAGCUAGUUGGUGGGGUAAAGGCCUACCAAGGCGACGAUCCGUAGCGGGUCUGAGAGGAUGAUCCGCCACACUGGGACUGGGACACGGCCCAGACUCCUACGGGAGGCAGCAGUGGGGAAUUUUGGACAAUGGGGGCAACCCUGAUCCAGCCAUGCCGCGUGAGUGAAGAAGGCCU
This 388-nucleotide ribosomal RNA is filed under the name uncultured bacterium. RNAcentral describes it as "bacterial SSU rRNA". It matches the Rfam family "Bacterial small subunit ribosomal RNA", at positions 29 to 417 of the family's 1533-position model. The record is from RNAcentral.